RNAcentral lists this unclassified non-coding RNA (363 nucleotides) under uncultured bacterium. RNAcentral's name for it is "contains 16S-23S intergenic spacer region". The record is from RNAcentral.
UCCCCGUUACCGGGGCAGUCUAGCUAGAGAAAUUCAACUAACUAUAAGGGUUGCGCUCGUUGAUGGACUUAACCAAACAUCUCACGACACGAGCUGACGACGGCCAUGCAUCACCUGUCACUGGAUUCCCGAAGGCACAGUCUCCUUUCGGAGACCUUCCCAGGAUGUCAAACCUUGGUAAGGUUCUACGCUUAUCGUCGAAUUAAACAACACGCUCCACCGCUUGUGCGGGUCCCCGUCAAUUCCUUUAUGUUUUAAGCUUGCGCUCGUACUCCACAGGCGGGAUGCUUAACGCGUUAGCUUCGCUACUACCGGGGUCGAUACCGAUAACAGCUAGCAUCCAUCGUUUACGGCGUGGACUAC